Molecule: ribosomal RNA, 119 nt
Filed under: Pteropus alecto (black flying fox)
Lineage: Eukaryota; Metazoa; Chordata; Mammalia; Chiroptera; Pteropodidae
Also listed under: 1 other name
Source: RNAcentral
CUCUACGGCCAUGCUACCCUGAACAAACCCGAUCCCAUCUGAUUUCGGAAGCUAAGCAGGAUCAGGCCUGGUUAGUACUUGGAUGGGAGACCGCCUAGGAAGACCAGGUGCUAUAAAUG